Molecule: long non-coding RNA, 213 nt
Filed under: Brassica rapa (field mustard)
Lineage: Eukaryota; Viridiplantae; Streptophyta; Magnoliopsida; Brassicales; Brassicaceae
Description: long non-coding RNA (BRAP_LNC002576)
Source: RNAcentral
AGUUGACAUUGACCAGACUGAAGAUGUUACCUUCACGUAUGGCACAUCACCUGACGUUCCAUAUUUCCAUGUUAUUGAACUGGAGGAAAGCAAAUAGAAAGGUUUCAGAAGUAAUGGUAUUCAGAAAUUCAACGAUGCCAAAGGAAGUAUGUAGACCGCAGUAUAUGAAAGUUAUGUGCGAUGAAGAAUUGGUUAUCGUGAAAGUGUUUGCUC